GCUCUCAAGCAGUGUCCUUUAGAGAAAAAUGCUUAAAGGAGAUGAGUGUCUGCCCAGGUGUGCCUUAACGUACACAAACACAGCCUUUGAUGUGGCACCAGGGAGACCCAAGAUUGCUUUAAUACAGCAUCCAAAUAACAACAUGAAUGCUAAAGGCUCAGGUUUCUUACUAUCUUUCAUCUGGUAAAUUAAUACCACCGUAUUUUUAAAUUAACCCUAUAGCUAUCUCAUCAUUCAUGUAAUUUUAUGAGACCUAAUAUUAAAGCACAGUUCAGAGUUCAAUAAAUUUAGCAAUGUCAAUACAACUGCACUGCUGAUCUUCUGAUGAACUGCUACAUUUCCUGGCAGGUCAAAAUAUGGAUGCAUUAGCCAUGUGGUCUGUUUUCCAGCUUGAUACUAUAUUUGGCAAUACAGCAAUAUUAGUGCUCAUAAAAUCUAACCUUUGCAAGGCUCACCCUGUGUGUAAGUAGAUUAGGUGGCUGCCAAUACGGGAAGAUUUUAGAGGCUGUAAGCCCUUACUAUUCCAAAUAUUCUAAAACAUCUACUCCGGACUUACCAUUGUACUAAAACCUAUACUAAACGCUAGAGCUAGAAAGAUAUAGCCCUUUCCUUCCAAUCAUUAGUGCUGUGAGAACAGUAGAGAUGUUUGACUUGCUAGGGCAUGAAGAAUACUUGUAGAGGUGAUCCUUGUCAUUAAGUAACUAGGUCUCUGUUCUGCCUGUGUGAAAAAUGCAAACAUGGGAGAUGAAACUCACUGGUCUCUUAACAUCUGUAUUAGGUAAAGGCUUACCUGCUAUUUUAAAAAAGUAGGUCCCAAAUGCAAUGAUUUUAAGAGAUCUGUCAGUUCCUAGGCGAUGUCUUCAUCUCCACAAUAAAAGCUGAAUUGCAGACAAGUCUAAAUUCUAGCUAAAGGCAAGGGGAAAGAGAAGAUGUCUUGGUCUGGCAAUUUUCUUUUAAACUAAUGAGGUAGAAAUUGCACUUAAUACUUCCAUUAAUACUCCCUUGAUGAUAACUAAGUCACAUCCCAGGGACAGCGGAAAAGGAGUCUGGAAAACACAUAGUCUCUACACAGAUAGCAACAUACCCAGUUUGGACCCUAUCGCUAUGGAAGAAAAGGAGUAUGGAUUUUGGUAAACCAGUGGCAGUAUCCAUCACAGAAUCAUAUGGAACAUGAACAUUUUCAGUGUAGUCCAUUCAGUAAAUAGCUUGCCUUAGUAAAAAUCUUGAAGUGAGUUGUAUAUUUAUACUUAUUCAUUGGAAGUUUUUGAAAUGCUUGAUGCUGCUUGAUGCUGGAUUCUGUAGUUAGUUAUGUGAUGAUCUGGCGCCCCCCAGCAGACCGAGUGAACACUGACUUAGUGGCCACUUGUGAAACACAGGCCUGAGAGUGGAGCAAGUCGGCAGGAGGUGAGCCUAGUGGUGGACUGAGAGAUAGAGCUUGGAGCUUUGCCAGCUGUAGCCUGUUUUCCCUGUUCUUGUGUCAGCAAGCAGAUAGGAACAACUAAGGAGAAAACUGCUCUCUUGAGUUAAAUUAUUAUUUUUCAAAUGCUAAGUCCUACAUACAAAAUUUAAAUUUUUUUACCUUGCCUUCUUUUCAGGACUACAAUUAGGGUUUGGAUCUUACAAUUAGGGUUUGGAUCUUGCUUGCCGUUUCUCAGUGUCCUUUCCACUCCUUUCUUUUUCAUUCUGAGAGAUCAUAGUAGAAAAACUGAGAGAAAAGUGCUGCAACUAUAACUAGUCACUUAUGAUGGAGCAUAAUAAUGUGAGAAAAAAGAAUGUAUACAUGCAUGUGUAAUUGGGUCACCUUGCUGUAUAGUAGAAAAUUGACAGAACACUGUAAACCAGCUAUAAUGGAAAAAAAUAAAAAUCAUUAUUAAAAAAAAAAGCUGAGAGAGCUCACCUUUGCAGUGAAAUCUGAAAUGUAAGACAUUUUCCUAGAUGUAUCCGUGGUUCUCACAGAGAGGGUUAUCCUAAAGCAAAACAUCUUAUUAAUGGGGCUGUAAUUUAGAUUUCCCUAACACUGACUAUCUUUCCUACAACCCUUUCAAUCUAAUAAGCUCCCUGGAAAGUUUCUCCACUGUAUAAAUUACUAAGAAGAAUGUGUUAAACUUUUCCACCAUUUGUUGGGAAAUGUGUUGCCUUUAAGUGUGUAUUGCAUUAAUCUUUGUAAAUGUAUGCCUUUUCUAUACGCUUCACACAGAAGUGCUGCUCAUAGAAGCAUGUCAUUAAAGGCUAAAUAUCUCUGAAGAUGUCACUUAGGUUGAAAAUCAACAUAACAAAAAGGGGGCUAUGAUAAUCUCUCCAACUGGGAAGAGUUUAUUGGUUGCUUAAGUUGGAAGUCUUUUUCAUUAUUGGUGACAGCUCACCAGAAUGCCUUAUUUAAUCACUAAUGUUAGGUCAGGAGGUCCAAUUCAGUUUCAAAGUCAAGCUCCCUGAAAGAAAAACCUAUACAAAUUUUUUUUUUUUCACCUUCAUCUCUCAUUCAAGGCAAUGAGGUUUUCAUCUUAUCUCUUCGUGGAAGGAUUGGUGUUGGGAGCCAGUCACCUCAUGUUCCCCAAAUGAAAUGAAUGUUCUCUUGAAGCAUUUAGCUCCCUUGGACACUAUUCUCAUCUUGAAUCCAUCUUUCUCCUUGUUUUUUUGUGACUUACUUUU
This 2649-nucleotide long non-coding RNA is filed under the name Sus scrofa (pig). Its description in RNAcentral is "lncRNA (ENSSSCG00050014820.1)". Lineage: Eukaryota; Metazoa; Chordata; Mammalia; Artiodactyla; Suidae. The record is from RNAcentral.